RNAcentral lists this ribosomal RNA (390 nucleotides) under uncultured bacterium. RNAcentral describes it as "bacterial SSU rRNA". It matches the Rfam family "Bacterial small subunit ribosomal RNA", at positions 28 to 416 of the family's 1533-position model. The record is from RNAcentral.
GACGAACGCUGGCGGCGUGCUUAACACAUGCAAGUCGAACGGUGACCUCGGAGCUUGCUCCGGGCGAUCAGUGGCGAACGGGUGAGUAACACGUGAGCAACCUGCCCCUGGCUCUGGGGAUAACCCCGGGAAACCGGAGCUAAUACCGGAUACGAGACCGAUUGGCAUCUAUACGGUCUGGAAAGUUUUUCGGCCAGGGAUGGGCUCGCGGCCUAUCAGCUUGUUGGUGGGGAAUGGCCCACCAAGGCGACGACGGGUAGCCGGCCUGAGAGGGCGAUCGGCCACACUGGGACUGAGACACGGCCCAGACUCCUACGGGAGGCAGCAGUGGGGAAUAUUGCGCAAUGGGCGAAAGCCUGACGCAGCGACGCCGCGUGAGGGAAGAAGCCU